CAGGUUGGAGCUUGUUUAAGUUUUUUAUUUACACUAAAAGGAAAAUUCGUUGAUGGAUUUAACCUGA
This 67-nucleotide transfer RNA is filed under the name Pachybrachis suffrianii. Its description in RNAcentral is "tRNA-Val". The record is from RNAcentral. Lineage: Eukaryota; Metazoa; Arthropoda; Insecta; Coleoptera; Chrysomelidae.